UUAUGGUUCUCAGUAUACUGGUUGGACAGGUUGGUACAGAAAGGAACUAGUUAUUAUGGUUCUCAGUAUACUGGUUGGACAGGUUGGUACAGAAAGGAACUAGUUAUUAUGGUUCUCAGUAUACUGGUUGGACAGGUUGGUACAGAAAGGAACUAGUUAUUAUGGUUCUCAGUAUACUGGUUGGACAGGUUGGUACAGAAAUGAACUAGUUAUUAUGGUUCUCAGUAUACUGGUUGGACAGGUUGGUACAGAAAGGAACUAGUUAUUAUUGUUCUCAGUAUACUGGUUGGACAGGUUGGUACAGAAAGGAACUAGUUAUUAUGGUUCUCAGUAUACUGGUUGGACAGGUUGGUACAGAAAGGAACUAGUUAUUAUGGUUCUCAGUAUACUGGUUGGACAGGUUGGUAUAGAAAGGGAUUGUAAGACCCUACUUAUUUUCCCACGAAGGUUGAAUAGGCAGAGAGCUCUGUAAAUAUUGUACAACAUUUUGUUAUUCUUUUGUGUCUUUUUUUUGUUGCAUUUAAAUAUAAAAGUGGUUGGACUGCUCUGGGGAAUAA
Oncorhynchus tshawytscha (Chinook salmon) is the source of this 557-nucleotide long non-coding RNA. NCBI's taxonomy places the organism in Eukaryota, Metazoa, Chordata, Actinopteri, Salmoniformes, Salmonidae. The record is from Ensembl.